ACCACAUAAUUUUGUACACUGAUUUGUGUGGUUCAUACCUUAUUAAGCGUCAACUUCGAUAGACCUUCAAUAUCAAUAGUUUCAACCUUUUAUUGUCAAGAUCUGUACAAUAUUCUCUUCAUUUUAGCUGUUAUGGCUGUCUGGGCACACGCUUCAGCAGAGAUUUUUUGGCAUCAUCCUUGCUCCUAAAAAACUCGGAAACUUCAAUUCAAUCUGUCAUCGUGUGAUAAAAAAGAAGAUUCCACGUCAGCUUAUGUUGAAAAGAACUCUUUGUUUGUCUAAAAAUGUCUUAAUUACCAAGGUUUCGCCGUCAAAACAAGUGACGUCAAAGGCAGGCGCGACCGAGCUUUGGACUAAUGUUGUGUCUACACCGGAAGGCCGGAACACUUUACUCGACGGCGUCUGCUGAUCUUGCAUGUUUAUGAAAUCUUCCUUUUCUGAGGUUUUUCUUAUCUUGUUGUUAGGACACAGAAAGACACUUGACAUAACACAAAGGUUUAAUUUUGAUGGCAUCAAUCAUUUUCUUAGGGAAUAAAUACAAUGUUAUGUACA
Long non-coding RNA from Pocillopora damicornis (cauliflower coral), 552 nucleotides. Lineage: Eukaryota; Metazoa; Cnidaria; Anthozoa; Scleractinia; Pocilloporidae. The record is from RefSeq and is a predicted model, not a curated record.